CACACCGCCCGUCACACCAUGGGAGUCAGUUGCUCUAGAAGUCGGUGCGCCAACCUUGUGAGGUAGCCGCCUAAAGAGUGACUGGUAACUGGGGUG
This 96-nucleotide ribosomal RNA is filed under the name uncultured bacterium. Its description in RNAcentral is "partial 16S ribosomal RNA". It matches the Rfam family "Bacterial small subunit ribosomal RNA", at positions 1386 to 1482 of the family's 1533-position model. The record is from RNAcentral.